Molecule: long non-coding RNA, 1372 nt
Organism: Zea mays
Lineage: Eukaryota; Viridiplantae; Streptophyta; Magnoliopsida; Poales; Poaceae
Exons: 2
Source: RefSeq, a predicted model, not a curated record
CUCGUGAGCGUUCUGCAUAGCCAGAACCGCCGGCAUCACUUCUCAGGUUCGCCAGUCCGGCCGUCCCUUCCCUUAGAGCAAUUCCAAAAGGUGACUAAAACAUACCCAAAACCCGUUUUAGACAUGGAAACAAAAAAAGUUUCCCAUACAACAGCUCCCCCAAGUUCUGCCAAAAUAUCCGGCAUCCCGCAUCCGAGUGCCACCCUCCCGCAAAUUUACGCGACGCGAUUUUCCCCAAUCCAUCCAUCCAGUGGCGCAUGCGGUUCACCAGACGCUAGGAGGAUGUUUGUAGCACGCGAAAUUGACGAGGUACACCAGCCACGGGCGCUUGAGGUAAUACAAGUAGUAGUAGCAGUAGCACCGCGGCGAGCCGCGCGAUGCCGGUGAGCGGUCGAGCGAGUAGAGCUUGUCCUUGCCGACGAGGAGGAUGCUGCCAUGGCGAGGAACGGCGGCGCAAGCGCGAGCUAGACACAUGAGGAGGUCGUGGGGAUGGCAUCGGAGACAAGCCGAUGCAUACAUACUUGAGGUGACGUCGUGCGCAAGGUUCAACGAAGUUUGUUUAAAAGUUUUAAGUACCUGUACCUGGCGUAUGGAGGUGGCGACAACUGUCUCCCAGUUGCGCUACCCAAAAUGUGGGGAGAGUGAGCGAGCGAACACACGCGAGGUGAACAGGAGAAGAAAGGCAAGCGGUGAACAUGAGUUCUGAUGCGGUGGCCGGUGGCAGCCUGCAGAUCGACGGUAUUUCAGUGUGUCGGCACCAAAUCACGGCACUCCAGCGAACUUUUUCUGAUGCGCCCAUACCGGCUACCGCAGUUUCCCAUCUGUUCCGAGUUAUAAGUGAUUUUAACUAAAUUAUAAAUUACUUUAGCCUUCCUGAAAGAGUUCGAAGACUCAAGAGUAUUUUAACCAAAUUUAUGUAAUAAAAGUGUCAUUUAUUAAUUAUAUUUCAAAGUGAUAACUAUUUGGUGUCAUAAAUGUUAUAAGUUUGACUGUUGAUAUGAUUUGACUCCCCCCACCCCCAAAAAAAGAAUAAAUUAUACUUUAGAACAAAGAGAGUAGUAGUACAAAGAAAGCAGCAGACGUCAUGAAGAAAUGCCCCGGCCGGCAUUGCUACUUUUCCUCUUUGUUCCAGCUUAUAUUCCCCUCUUUACAGAAGCCUCCCAAUCUACCCAAGCAUCUACCACCUACCCAUCACCCAAGUACCGACAACCUAAAUGCUGCACCCACACAUACACAGACGAACACAACCACUUGCAUUGCAUGAACAAGAGUUCCCUACAGGCUUCUCUAUACCGUUCUUCAAAACGCCUCAUCAAAUGGAACCUUUUCAGUCACCUACUCAUCGCUAAUCCUACAGUACAGUCAGAUAAAA